RNAcentral lists this ribosomal RNA (1194 nucleotides) under Vermetus bieleri. RNAcentral's name for it is "partial 16S ribosomal RNA". It matches the Rfam family "Bacterial large subunit ribosomal RNA", at positions 468 to 2597 of the family's 2925-position model. The record is from RNAcentral. Lineage: Eukaryota; Metazoa; Mollusca; Gastropoda; Littorinimorpha; Vermetidae.
AAAAAUUAAAUACUGAGUUCUAGGAAAGUAGAGGAGAUCAAAGUUGACCAAAAGUAAAAACUAAGUAGUACUGUGAAGGAAAUCUAAGCAAAGAGUAAGAGUAGUAAAGUUGAGUGCGUACCUUUUGUAUCAUGGCUUAGCUAGAGUGUAUAUCUAUAUAGAUGUUCUCGAAACUCUAAGAGUUACCUCUAUCUCCUGUUUUAGUAGGACUCCUUGUAGGUGUGGCAAAAUCUUAGGUAAAGAUAGAGGUGGCAAUAAAAUUUUAUACGGUUAGAGUGAUAGCUAGUUCCUUUUAAAAUGUAUAUAGUACAGGCGUUUAGGUUGUUUAGAAGAAACUCACACAGUUUUCUUUCUAAACCGGUAGGCGGCUCAUUUUAUAAAAGAUUAGUUUUAUAAGUAUGAAGAACUCAAAAUUGCUUUUUACUUUAACUUAGCCCUGGGUUUAGAAGUGGCCGUGGAUAACAGUGUGUUAUAAGAGAUAGGAUAUUGUUUUGAAAAAUAGAUUUGUGUCCCAAGAUAACGAGGUAUUGCCUGGAAAGAUUGUAGGGCUAUAAAGAAUGCUAAGAUGAGUAAUGAAGAAUAAUACGUAGGUGUUGAGAUAAUAUAGAUGUAGACACGGACAAAAAGAAGCAUAUAGAAGUAAGCCCCGGGAAGGAACUCGGCAAACCUAUUUUCCGCCUGUUUCGCAAAAACAUGGCUCUGUGCUGUGCCAAGAUGCAGAGUCGGACCUGCCCACUGGAGCUAUAUCUAAAUGGCCGCGGUACUUUGACCGUGCAAAGGUAGCAUAAUCAUUUGUCUAUUCAUUGUAGACUGGAAUGAAUGGUUUGACGUGAAAAUAGCUGUCUCCCUUGGUUUGUAGUGAAGUUAACUUUUAGGUUAAAAGGCCUAUAUAGAAUAAGAGGACGAGAAGACCCUAAUUGAGCUUAUCCCAAAACUAGGGCGAAGUAAUUCUAGGAAAUGGGUUUAGUUGGGGCGACAGAGGAACCGUGCAGGCUUCCUUGAAAAAAAUUAAUAUACAAAGACCCAACUGAUGUAAAGCAUUGUUGAUUAACGAUAAAGUUACCAUAGGGAUAACAGCAUUAUAUAUCUUGAGAGUUCCUAUCGACAGAUGUGUUUGUGACCUCGAUGUUGGACUAGAAUAUCCUAGGGGUGUAGUAGCUCCUGAAGGUUGGUCUGUUCGACCAUAAAAAUUCU